AGAGUUUGAUCCUGGCUCAGAUUGAACGCUGGCGGCAUGCCUUACACAUGCAAGUCGAACGGCAGCAUAGGAGCUUGCUCCUGAUGGCGAGUGGCGAACGGGUGAGUAAUAUAUCGGAACGUGCCCUAGAGUGGGGGAUAACUAGUCGAAAGACUAGCUAAUACCGCAUACGAUCUACGGAUGAAAGUGGGGGAUCGCAAGACCUCAUGCUCCUGGAGCGGCCGAUAUCUGAUUAGCUAGUUGGUGGGGUAAAAGCCUACCAAGGCAACGAUCAGUAGCUGGUCUGAGAGGACGACCAGCCACACUGGGACUGAGACACGGCCCAGACUCCUACGGGAGGCAGCAGUGGGGAAUUUUGGACAAUGGGGGCAACCCUGAUCCAGCAAUGCCGCGUGAGUGAAGAAGGCCUUCGGGCUGUAAAGCUCUUUUGUCAGGGAAGAAACGGUGGUAGCGAAUAACUACUACUAAUGACGGUACCUGAAGAAUAAGCACCGGCUAACUACGUGCCAGCAGCCGCGGUAAU
Molecule: ribosomal RNA, 523 nt
Filed under: uncultured bacterium
Lineage: Bacteria
Description: bacterial SSU rRNA
Rfam family: Bacterial small subunit ribosomal RNA
Source: RNAcentral